AAAGGAAUAGACGGGGGCCCGCACAAGCAGCGGAGCGUGUGGUUUAAUUCGAUGCUACACGAAGAACCUUACCCAGGCUUGACAUACAGGUGGUAGAGAUCCGAAAGGUGAUCGACCCGCAAGGGAGCCUGAACAGGUGUUGCAUGGCUGUCGUCAGCUCGUGUCGUGAGAUGUUCGGUUAAGUCCGCUAACGAGCGCAACCCUUGCCGCGUGUUACAUGUGUCACGCGGGACCGCCGGUAUUAAGCCGGAGGAAGGCGGGGAUGACGUCAAGUCAGCAUGGCCUUUAUGCCUGGGGCUACACACACGCUACAAUGGGCAGUACAAUGGGUUGCCAAGCCGCGAGGCGGAGCUAAUCCCCCAAAACUGUCCUCAGUUCAGAUUGCAGGCUGAAACUCGCCUGCAUGAAGCCGGAGUUGCUAGUAAACGCGCGUCAGCUAUAGUGCGUUGAAUACGUUCUCGGGCCUUGUACACACCGCCCGU
This 482-nucleotide ribosomal RNA is filed under the name uncultured bacterium. RNAcentral's name for it is "bacterial SSU rRNA". It matches the Rfam family "Bacterial small subunit ribosomal RNA", at positions 903 to 1397 of the family's 1533-position model. The record is from RNAcentral.